RNAcentral lists this ribosomal RNA (404 nucleotides) under uncultured bacterium. RNAcentral describes it as "partial 16S ribosomal RNA". It matches the Rfam family "Bacterial small subunit ribosomal RNA", at positions 30 to 526 of the family's 1533-position model. The record is from RNAcentral.
AUUGAACGCUGGCGGCAGGCCUAACACAUGCAAGUCGAGCGAGCGGCGGACGGGUGAGUUAUGCCUGGGUAUUGCUAAGUCGGGGGGGAUAACAGUUGGAAACGACUGCUAAUACCGCAUACGAUUGGAUCGCCCAGGUGGGAUUAGCUAGUUGGUGAGGUAAUGGCUCACCAAGGCGACGAUCUCUAGCUGGUCUGAGAGGAUGAUCAGCCAAACUGGGACUGAGACACGGCCCAGACGCCUACGGGAGGCAGCAGUGGGGAAUAUUGCACAAUGGGGGAAACCCUGAUGCAGCCAUGACGCGUGUAUGAAGAAGGCCGUCGGGUUGUAAAGUACUUUCAGUAGGGAGGCGUUACUGACAGAAGAAGCACCGGCUAACUCCGUGCCAGCAGCCGCGGUAAUUC